Molecule: RNA transcript, 2082 nt
Organism: Fukomys damarensis (Damara mole-rat)
Lineage: Eukaryota; Metazoa; Chordata; Mammalia; Rodentia; Bathyergidae
Gene: Ap1s2
Gene name: adaptor related protein complex 1 subunit sigma 2
Exons: 6
Source: RefSeq, a predicted model, not a curated record
AUGCAGUUUAUGUUGCUUUUUAGUCGUCAGGGAAAGCUUCGACUGCAGAAAUGGUAUGUCCCACUGUCAGACAAAGAGAAGAAAAAGAUCACAAGAGAACUUGUUCAAACCGUUUUAGCAAGGAAACCUAAAAUGUGCAGCUUCCUCGAGUGGCGAGAUCUGAAGAUUGUUUACAAAAGAUAUGCUAGUCUGUAUUUUUGCUGUGCUAUUGAGGAUCAGGACAAUGAACUAAUUACCCUGGAAAUAAUUCAUCGUUAUGUGGAAUUACUUGACAAGUAUUUUGGCAGUGUGUGUGAGCUUGAUAUCAUCUUUAAUUUUGAGAAGGCCUAUUUUAUUUUGGAUGAAUUUCUUUUGGGAGGGGAAGUUCAGGAGACAUCCAAAAAAAAUGUCCUUAAAGCAAUCGAACAGGCCGAUCUCCUGCAGGAGAGCCAGAAUGAAGAAUGGGGAGGUUUGUCUGAGGAUAUCUUAUGAUAAAGAGCAGUCUAAGGCUUUAGUCCCUUUGACCCCCAACUUAUUUAUUGGAUGCAAAAGAAGCUGAAACCCCACGUAGUGUUCUUGAAGAAAUUGGACUGACAUAACUCUCCUCCCUUGUUGCUGACUCCUGUGGCAUUUCACAUACUGUAGAUGGUCACUGCCUUCAUGUCCAUGUUAGCUAAUGGUGUAAGAUGAUGUCUUGUCAGUAUUACUGUUUUGCUAAGCUGCUUCAUUCAGGCCUACACAAUUUUUUAAAGGGAAUUUUGGUUAAUUAAAUGAUUAGGGACUUCAUAUAAAUGUGAAUUAGAAAGAUACCUCUUCUGGAUAUUUUAAAAGGUUACAGGUCAGUUUCUCAAUGAUUAUGUGCAUAUAUGAAAAUGACAUGUAUACAUGUAUAUCAAACAAUUUGACAAUAUGCAUCUAUACUGUAUUUGACAAAGGAAACAAAUUACAAUGUGAAACUUGGUUUAUGAAACCAAAGACUAGUGCAUUUUAUUUUAUAUAAUACAAAUAAAGGGAAUUAACAUGUCAUGUGGAAUGAAAAUUUAAUGUUGAAACUUUAACCAAAAAACAAACAAAAAUUUUUUACCAAAGACCCCUAUUGGUCUCUACAUACUUUAAAACAAAGGGAAUACAGACUUAGAUGACUAAAUUGGAUUGAUGCUGAUUCACACUGAAAUUAUGUCCUAAACAUUCUGAGUGAAUGGGAUAAGGAACAAAGACCACUUCAUAUUAGUGAGCACAUAAUUUUUAAGGCCAAGGCACAUUUGACUCCUGAGAUGAAUAUUUUGUGGUCCUAAUCAUUUAGCAAUUUGGUUGGCUUGUUUUUUAUGCCCCCAAAUAAAGUGGGAAUGCAAAAUGACCACAAAUUUUCCAUAACAGUAUCUUACAGAAACAUCUUGCUUUCUUCAGUGUUGCAUAAAAUCAUUGUUCAAAGAAUGAAUAUUCCUUCUGGAGUGCUUGUUAAAGCCAAAUUUAUUUUGCUUCCCUAUUGCGUCCUUCCAAUUAGAAGUGCUGCAAACUUCACAGUAGUUUCCUUUCCUUCCAUGGCACUGCCUAGUUAUCAAAGUCUUAGAAAAAUUUUUAAAAAAGCAUUUCAUUUAACAAAGUGAACAUGAAUGAAAUAAAAUGGCAUUAGUUGGCCCUGUAUUUUUUAAAGUUCUAUAACUGUUCAGCAUCACUUUUAUACAUCAUUAUACAUAUCUAAACAUUGUGUUUAUAGUUUACACUUUCAUUUGUAUAUGCUGGGCUGGAUUAAGCUUUGUUGUGAUUGUGACCAACAUUCAGGCCACGUGAGCACUGUCUUACCACAUUGCCAAUUAGUUGUAAUAAAUGUUCAACCUACAAACACUGUAGUGUGUUUUUCUCUUUCCAAAAGUUUGUCAAACUGGAGGGCUGCUGAAGGAAGAUUUUUUUCCCCAGUAAAAUGUUGGUAAUUUCUUUCCACUUGACUCCCCCCACCCUUUGAGUGUAGUGGUGGGCUAUAAGCACACACACGAAAAAUAGACGGUUCAAGGAGUCUUGUACUUCAAAUUCAAUGUUAAAAAUACGUGGAUUCCAUGCUACCAACAACUUACACAUUUAUUUUCAAUCAAUAAAUGCCGCUUU